This 212-nucleotide long non-coding RNA is filed under the name Nicotiana benthamiana. Its description in RNAcentral is "long non-coding RNA (NBEN_LNC000797)". Lineage: Eukaryota; Viridiplantae; Streptophyta; Magnoliopsida; Solanales; Solanaceae. The record is from RNAcentral.
CGCCUCUUAGCCUCCUCGUCUAAGCCCGCUUGCGGUGCGUAAGCGCUAAUGCCGUUGAGGACGCAACCCCCAAUAACCAUCUUAAUAGACAUUAACCUAUCAUUCACUCGCCUAACCUCUACCACGGACUCCCUUAGAUCCAUAUCUAUCAGGAUGCCUACUCCAUUCUUACCUUUCACGACCCCAGAAUACCACAGCUUAAACCCGUCUAC